This 540-nucleotide ribosomal RNA is filed under the name Fusarium proliferatum. RNAcentral's name for it is "eukaryotic LSU rRNA". The stretch from base 177 to 334 matches the Rfam family "5.8S ribosomal RNA". Lineage: Eukaryota; Fungi; Ascomycota; Sordariomycetes; Hypocreales; Nectriaceae. The record is from RNAcentral.
AGAAGGGGGAAGAGCAAUUCUACNANGCUGUGAGGAUCNCUAGUACGNCUUGUGAACAUACCAAUUGUUGCCUCGGCGGAUCAGCCCGCUCCCGGUAAAACGUGGACGGCCCGCCAGAGGACCCCUAAACUCUGUUUCUAUAUGUAACUUCUGAGUAAAACCAUAAACUAAAUCAAAACUUUCAACAACGGAUCUCUUGGAUUCUGGCAUCGAUGAAGAACGCAGCAAAAUGCGAUAAGUAAUGUGAAUUGCAUGAACUUCAGUGAAUCAUCGAAUCUUUGAACGCACAUUGCGCCCGCCAGAUAUUCUGGCGGGCAUGCCUGUUCGAGCGUCAUUUCAACCCGUCAAGCCCAGCUUGGUGUUGGGACUCGCGAGUCAAAUCGCUGUUUCCCCAAAUUGAUUGGCGGUCACGUCGAGCUUCCAUAGCGUAUAUAAAACCCUCGUUACUGGUAAUCGUCGCGGCCACGCCGUUCAACCCCAACUUCUGAAUGUUGACCUCGGAUCAGGUAGGAAUACCCGUUAACUUUAUUUUCAUAGCGA